RNAcentral lists this small nucleolar RNA (75 nucleotides) under Babjeviella inositovora NRRL Y-12698. The record is from RNAcentral. Lineage: Eukaryota; Fungi; Ascomycota; Pichiomycetes; Serinales.
UAAAAUGAUGACCAAGAUGUCGCCCCAAGCGGAACCAUAAUGACCGAUUCGAUUAAUACACUGAAAAUUCUGAAA